CCUGGUUAUCAAAAACAUNNCCCUUUGGNCCCAUUUAAAGUCUGGCCUGCCCACUGAUANUUGAAGGGCCGCGGUAUUUUGACCGUGCAAAGGUAGCAUAAUCAUUAGUUUCUUAAUUAGAAGCUGGAAUGAAUGGUUGGAUGAAAAAAUUACUGUUUCAAUUUUAUUAAUUAUGAAUUUUAUUUUUAAGUAAAAAAGCUUAAAUUAAAUUAAAAGACGAGAAGACCCUAUAGAUUUUUAUAAAUUUAUUAGUUAGAAUUUUUAGAAAAAAUAUUUUUAAUUAGUAGUUUUAUUUAAUUGGGGUGAUUGAAAAAUUAAAAUAACUUUUUUAAGUUUGUUACAUUAUUAAUUGAAAUUGAUGAUCCAUUAUUUAUGAUUAAAAGAUUAAAUUACCUUAGGGAUAACAGCGUAA
Molecule: ribosomal RNA, 412 nt
Filed under: Urographis fasciatus
Lineage: Eukaryota; Metazoa; Arthropoda; Insecta; Coleoptera; Cerambycidae
Description: partial 16S ribosomal RNA
Rfam family: Archaeal large subunit ribosomal RNA (bases 1-203)
Source: RNAcentral